This 470-nucleotide long non-coding RNA is filed under the name Mytilus galloprovincialis (Mediterranean mussel). The record is from RNAcentral. Lineage: Eukaryota; Metazoa; Mollusca; Bivalvia; Mytilida; Mytilidae.
AGAAAAUAAGACGUGCUUCAAAUGCAAAGAUUACCAUAUGUAUCUUUUUUACAGUAGAGGGUUCAAUUUUUAAAAUGAAUUUGCCAAAAGGCAUGCGGUGCACAGCCUUCAACUGCUCGACAAAAGAUUUUUUUUUUGUUUCUGGGAUUCCUUUUAAUGACAUAUAAUAAAUACACAUUUUUAAAAAUGCCAAAAAAUUGCAUGUACACCCAUUGAUAUUAUAUCGUCUUUCAUUUUGUCGUGCAAAUAAAAUAACAGAAAUAUUUUGAAAAUAUCAUUCGAAUAAACUAGUGAAGGUGAGCUCCAGCAAAGUAGAUCCUUAAAAUAGUAUUGUACGAAAAGCGUAUCACAAGGCGGAACGUUGUCAAUUUGUAUAUAUACAGAAAUGUUAUUCAUACAGUCAGGAUUCUACUUCUUCAAAAUUAUCUCCCCAUUACGCCAGUUCAUGCUCACAGUCGUAGAAAUGGAAG